RNAcentral lists this ribosomal RNA (909 nucleotides) under uncultured bacterium. RNAcentral's name for it is "bacterial SSU rRNA". It matches the Rfam family "Bacterial small subunit ribosomal RNA", at positions 516 to 1427 of the family's 1533-position model. The record is from RNAcentral.
CGCGGUAAUACGUAGGUGGCAAGCGUUGUCCGGGUUUACUGGGCGUAAAGGAUGUGUAGGCGGAUACUUAAGUGAGAUGUGAAAGCCCCGGGCUUAACCUGGGGACUGCAUUUCAAACUGGGUAUCUAGAGUGCAGGAGAGGAAAGCGGAAUUCCUAGUGUAGCGGUGAAAUGCGUAGAGAUUAGGAAGAACAUCAGUGGCGAAGGCGGCUUUCUGGACUGUAACUGACGCUGAGGCAUGAAAGCGUGGGGAGCAAACAGGAUUAGAUACCCUGGUAGUCCACGCCGUAAACGAUGAGUACUAGGUGUAGGAGGUAUCGACUCCUUCUGUGCCGCAGUUAACACAAUAAGUACUCCGCCUGGGAAGUACGGUCGCAAGAUUAAAACUCAAAGGAAUUGACGGGGGCCCGCACAAGCAGCGGAGCAUGUGGUUUAAUUCGAAGCAACGCGAAGAACCUUACCUAGACUUGACAUCUCCUGAAUAGCGUAGAGAUACGUGAAGCCCUUCGGAGCAGGAAGACAGGUGGUGCAUGGUUGUCGUCAGCUCAUGUCGUGAGAUGUUGGGUUAAGUCCCGCAACGAGCGCAACCCUUAUCAUUAGUUGCUACCAUUAAGUUGAGCACUCUAGUGAGACUGCCCGGGUUAACCGGGAGGAAGGCGGGGAUGACGUCAAAUCAUCAUGCCCCUUAUGUCUAGGGCUACACACGUGCUACAAUGGUGAGAACAACGAGAUGCAAUACCGCGAGGUGGAGCCAAACUUGAAAACUCAUCCCAGUUCGGAUUGCAGGCUGAAAUUCGCCUGCAUGAAGUUGGAGUUGCUAGUAAUCGCGAAUCAGAAUGUCGCGGUGAAUACGUUCCCGGGCCUUGUACACACCGCCCGUCACACCAUGAGAGCUGGUAACACCCGAAGU